Molecule: ribosomal RNA, 274 nt
Filed under: uncultured bacterium
Lineage: Bacteria
Description: partial 16S ribosomal RNA
Rfam family: Bacterial small subunit ribosomal RNA
Source: RNAcentral
AUACGGAGGGUGCAAGCGUUAUUCGGAAUCACAGGGCGUAAAGGGUGCGUAGGCGGUUUGAUAAGUCUGAUGUGAAAUCCUAUGGCUCAACCAUAGAACUGCAUUGGAAACUGUCAGACUAGAAUACUGAAGGGGCAGAUGGAAUUAGUGGUGUAGGGGUAAAAUCCGUAGAUAUCAAUAGGAAUACCGAAAGCGAAAGCGAUCUGCUGGGAAGUUAUUGACGCUGAGGCACGAAAGCGUGGGGAGCGAACGGGAUUAGAUACCCUAGUAGUCC